GGCGAGAUGGCCGAGUGGUCUAAGGCGCUAGAAUCAGGUCGUCCACCAAUCUAGUCCUCCGGGGCGGGGGUUCGAAUCCCCCUCUCGUCA
Marasmius sp. AFHP31 is the source of this 90-nucleotide non-coding RNA. NCBI's taxonomy places the organism in Eukaryota, Fungi, Basidiomycota, Agaricomycetes, Agaricales, Marasmiaceae. The record is from the annotation of a GenBank genome assembly.